AAUAGCUAUCAAACGCAAUGAUAGGUGUAUAACCAUCUUUCCAACCCUGUUUUAAUGCAUGGAAGCAAACAUAAAACUUACUGAACCUAGGGUUUUCUUCACUAGAAUUAGGCUUAUGUUCCUUACAAAACAUGUACUACCUGAACUAGAUCUAAGAAUCUCAUUCACAUAAUCAUGGAUCUUUACAUAUUCAACCUUAUAGUCCCCCAUUGUUUUCCUUAAGACUUUCAGCUUAGCCCUUUUACAAACUGUUAAUCCUACUUUAACCUUCAACUCUUGCCACACUAACUAUUGUAUUUCUCUAAUUUUAAUUCUAGGUUGUGAUACAAUUCUUUUCUCAAAAUGAAUUGCAAUAUAUGCAUAAGUAUAAAGCCUAUUCUUGUUUGUCCUUGUACACUUAUGCCUUGGAUUGUAUGUCUUGAUUAUAAAAUUAUUUGUGCUCUUUUCUAUUCUCCCAAACAAUAGCCAAGGACAACUUGGUUUUUCAUAUUUGGCUCUAACUCUGUGAUUUUCAUUAGGCCUUAAUUCCAAUGACACCCUCUUGAUGACUAUAUAUUUUGCUGGUGCUUUCCUAAAUUGCACAACAUUCUCAAAUAUUAUAGCUAGCUCCAAUAUUGGCCUAACUAUGCUUGGAUCAUAAUACACUUUAGUGCUUUGUUUCCUUAUAGUAGCUUCUUCAUCACUUACCUCUUCUUCUAUACUCUCUGGAUCAGAACUGUCGAUGUAAUGUCCAUCUCUUCCAACCUUUCCAGCAUACUUGUUCCUUCCAAAUUCAUUAUACUCAUACCUUUCAUCAUCCCCUGUCUUACCAAUAGGGAUUUCAUCAACAUUUUCUUCUUGUACAGCAGGACAUGGUCCACUCUUCUUAUACCUUUUCAGUCUUGCUUUAUCUUCUUACACUUCUUUAUUAGCAUCACUAUCUCCCAAAUCAUUAUAUCUAACAUUAUUCUCUUCUCCACUCUCUACACAUUCUUCAUCUGAUUUGGAUUUGUUCACUGACUUUAUUUUCAACUAUAUUCUCAUCUUCAGAACUGCUACCACUCUCUACAAUAAUAUCUUCUCCUGUUUCUAUGCCCUCUCCUCAGUAUUUUUCUCUUCCCUAGUUUUAAUGCAUUGUGGUUCAUCUAUGUUAAUCUAUGUUAUGAGCAAUAAAUAAAUCCAGCACCUCACCAUCACUUAGCGCUUGACAGAACUCUAAAACUUCACUAUCAUUCCAUAAUAACUUAAAUUGGUUAUUAGAUAACUCACCUUUAUAGUAUACAGCUGCCACAUUCAAAUACCCUAAGUCUUUAGCAUACCCAUAAAAUUCGCACACAUAAAGCAAAUCUAUAUCCACACACGGUACCAUUUUUACUUCUCCUCGAACAUAACUUGGGUUUGGUGCAUUUACAAUUUUGCCACCAUAAUGCCAUGUUAAUGUCACUAAGGUCCUCAUCCAACCUAUACACAAAAGGAAACAAAAACCUUACUUACAAAAUUGUGGGACCAUUAAACCAUUUGUUUAUUACUUUUUCUAUAAAGAAUGGCUUUGCAUUGCAGUAAAUUCCAAAAAAAAAGAAAAAUUCUCAUUGAAAUACCAAAACAACAAAUGAGAAAGAUGAGUAAAAUAAAAAAUAAGAUAAUGACAGAAAGUUGUAAUUUGCACUAACCUGGACAACG
RNAcentral lists this long non-coding RNA (1659 nucleotides) under Ricinus communis (castor bean). Its description in RNAcentral is "long non-coding RNA (RCOM_LNC001323)". Lineage: Eukaryota; Viridiplantae; Streptophyta; Magnoliopsida; Malpighiales; Euphorbiaceae. The record is from RNAcentral.